UAGGUUGGUGCAAAAGUAAUUGCAGUUUUGCUAUUACUUUUAAUGGCAAAAACAGCAAUUACUUUUUCACCAACAUAAUAU
Gorilla gorilla gorilla (western lowland gorilla) is the source of this 81-nucleotide microRNA precursor. The record is from Ensembl. NCBI's taxonomy places the organism in Eukaryota, Metazoa, Chordata, Mammalia, Primates, Hominidae.